Molecule: ribosomal RNA, 423 nt
Filed under: uncultured Faecalibacterium sp.
Lineage: Bacteria; Bacillati; Bacillota; Clostridia; Eubacteriales; Oscillospiraceae
Description: bacterial SSU rRNA
Rfam family: Bacterial small subunit ribosomal RNA
Source: RNAcentral
UGGGGAAUAUUGCACAAUGGGCGCAAGCCUGAUGCAGCAACGCCGCGUGGAGGAAGACGGUUUUCGGAUUGUAAACUCCUGUUCUUAGUGAAGAAAAAUGACGGUAGCUAAGGAGCAAGCCACGGCUAACUACGUGCCAGCAGCCGCGGUAAAACGUAGGGUGCAAGCGUUGUCCGGAAUUACUGGGUGUAAAGGGAGCGCAGGCGGGCAUGCAAGUUGGAAGUGAAAACUAUGGGCUCAACCCAUAGCCUGCUUUCAAAACUGCGUGUCUUGAGUAGUGCAGAGGUAGGCGGAAUUCCCGGUGUAGCGGUGGAAUGCGUAGAUAUCGGGAGGAACACCAGUGGCGAAGGCGGCCUACUGGGCACCAACUGACGCUGAGGCUCGAAAGUGUGGGUAGCAAACAGGAUUAGAUACCCUGGUAGU